RNAcentral lists this long non-coding RNA (1385 nucleotides) under Fragaria vesca (wild strawberry). RNAcentral's name for it is "long non-coding RNA (FVES_LNC003525)". The record is from RNAcentral. Lineage: Eukaryota; Viridiplantae; Streptophyta; Magnoliopsida; Rosales; Rosaceae.
ACCUCCUUUGAAAAUAGACAACCCUUCCUAAAAAAUCUGCAAACACACUUCUAAAAUCAUACUUCAACCUUGUACUCCUAGAGCCUUCAUGCUCUCUAAGUUUAUCACAUCUCACAAAAGAUCAAAUAUUAAUCCAAAAAAAUCCCACAACCAACAAUAAAGAUAUUCAAUAAUUUACUAACUGGAUUAUCAGAGCAUAUCUAAAACUGAAAGAAAAAUGAUGAAUAAAGAAUAAGCGGAAGCAGCCUCUGACUAUGCUUCGACUCCAUGUACGCUCGACCUCAAAUAAACUUUGCCUGCAAACUGGGCAUUUGAAACCGAAUGGCCCAGGGAAAAGUAAUUUAAAACGUUAGAGUGAGUGGACAAAAAUAAAUUAAAUAAUUUAACAAAAACGUAAUUUAACUACUUUCCCACGUUUAAACUUUAAAAACUUAGUUGCACGCAACUUUGAUCAUCCAAAUAACUUUAAAUCCAGAAACACAUAAGAAUAGACAAAUACUGAAAUCUCGUAAGAAAAGACAAACCAGCCCCGCUGGUUAAUUAAUUACAUAAAUGAGAAAAAUAAAUAAAAACAAGGGGAAGAGAUAUCACCAUGUAAGAGGAGCCUCCUAGGCUCUAGUAGCGUCUCACGUUAAGCGCUCGACUCACCUAUGGUGAGUACCGCUAAUAAAGGCUAGUUAGCAAUGAAUAAAAACCGAUCGAAGAUUCGGAGCCUCCCAGGCUAUAAUAGCGUCCAACGGUAAGCGCUCGACUCACCUAUGGUGAGGACCGCUAAAAAAGGCUAGCUAGUAAUGAAUAAGAGCGACCCUAGUAAGGUGACUAAAAAUAUAUGAAAUCACUUAAAUCCAUAAAACUUCCCUAGUAUCAUGCGAAUGGUACGGUUCCCAACCGUAAUUAGAAAUUAUCAUAAUAAUUUAAAAUAAAACUCAAUGACGCAUCUCACACAUCAAAAUAUUCUCAAAUCUAUAAUUAUAAGCGAUAUUUAAUUAUCAAAUAUAACUUGUAAAUAAUAUCUCAACCCGAAAUACUCGCUAAAACAUUCUCAAUGCCAAGAUCGAUAAUCCACAAAUAAAUGAGAAAAUUAUAAAUAGAGAACUACCGAAAAUCCCAUUUUCGGUAAUCUUUUAUAAAUCUCAAAGUCAACAAAUAAAAACGAUAAUAAUUAUAUCCAGAAGGAUAAUUCCCAUGCCAACUCUAAAAUCAAAGAAAUAAUAAGCCAAACUUUCUUACUUUCUUGAGAACGAUAAUUAUAGAAAAGAUAUUUAUAAAGCGAUAGGCGCAUGCAAUUUAUUCAAAAUAAAAGUCCACUCACAAUAUUAAGCCUAAGUUUUUGUAACACCCUAACAAGAUUGAAUUGGACCAAUUCUUUUUGAGGGAUUACUCAC